UGAAUAUUUCCCGGAAUGGUCCCAUUU
Molecule: non-coding RNA, 27 nt
Filed under: Mus musculus (house mouse)
Lineage: Eukaryota; Metazoa; Chordata; Mammalia; Rodentia; Muridae
Source: RNAcentral